RNAcentral lists this ribosomal RNA (459 nucleotides) under uncultured bacterium. RNAcentral describes it as "partial 16S ribosomal RNA". It matches the Rfam family "Bacterial small subunit ribosomal RNA", at positions 338 to 795 of the family's 1533-position model. The record is from RNAcentral.
CCUACGGGAGGCAGCAGUGAGGAAUAUUGGUCAAUGGGCGCGAGCCUGAACCAGCCAAGUAGCGUGAAGGAUGACUGCCCUACGGGUUGUAAACUUCUUUUAUAAAGGAAUAAAGUGAGGCACGUGUGCCUUUUGUAUGUACUUUAUGAAUAAGGAUCGGCUAACUCCGUGCCAGCAGCCGCGGUAAUACGGAGGAUCCGAACGUUAUCCGGGUUUAUUGGGUUUAAAGGUGGCGUAGAUGGGUUGUUAAGUCAGUUGUGAAAGUUUGCGGCGCAACCGUAAAAUUGCAAUUGAUACUGGCAGUCUUGAGUACAGUUGAGGUAGGCGGAAUUCGUGGUGUAGCGGUGAAAUGCUUAGAUAUCACGAAGAACUCCGAUUGCGAAGGCAGCUUACUAAACUGCCACUGACAUUGAUGCUCGAAAGUGUGGGUAUCAAACAGGAUUAGAUACCCUGGUAGUC